GUGCUCGCUUUGGCAGCACAUACACUAAAAUUGGAAUGAUACAGAGAAGAUUAGCAUAGCCCCUGUGCAAGGAUGAUCCAUACACAUGUAUGUAUGUAGUUGUGCAU
Molecule: small nuclear RNA, 107 nt
Organism: Ochotona princeps (American pika)
Lineage: Eukaryota; Metazoa; Chordata; Mammalia; Lagomorpha; Ochotonidae
Source: Ensembl